This 301-nucleotide ribosomal RNA is filed under the name uncultured bacterium. RNAcentral describes it as "partial 16S ribosomal RNA". It matches the Rfam family "Bacterial small subunit ribosomal RNA", at positions 509 to 809 of the family's 1533-position model. The record is from RNAcentral.
CAGUAGCCGCGGUAAUACAGAGGGUGCAAGCGUUAAUCGGAAUUACUGGGCGUAAAGCGCGCGUAGGUGGUUUGUUAAGUUGGAUGUGAAAUCCCCGGGCUCAACCUGGGAACUGCAUCCAAAACUGGCAAGCUAGAGUAUGGUAGAGGGUGGUGGAAUUUCCUGUGUAGCGGUGAAAUGCGUAGAUAUAGGAAGGAACACCAGUGGCGAAGGCGACCACCUGGACUGAUACUGACACUGAGGUGCGAAAGCGUGGGGAGCAAACAGGAUUAGAUACCCCUGUAGUCCCUGUCUCUUAUAA